This 1237-nucleotide ribosomal RNA is filed under the name metagenome. Its description in RNAcentral is "bacterial LSU rRNA". It matches the Rfam family "Bacterial large subunit ribosomal RNA", at positions 1564 to 2810 of the family's 2925-position model. The record is from RNAcentral.
UGAAUACGAGAUGCUACGGCAUCGAAGCAGUCUAUGUCAUACUUCCAAGAAAAGCUUGCACUGUCAUAAACAAAUAAUGCCUGUACCAUAACCGACACAGGUGGGUAGGUAGAGUAUACUAAGGGGCGCGAGAUAACUCUCUCUAAGGAACUCGGCAAAAUGACUCCGUAACUUCGGGAGAAGGAGUGCCUUAUUUUAUAAGGUUGCAAUAACAAGAUCCAAGCAACUGUUUACCAAAAACACAGGUCUCCGCUAAGUCGUAAGACGAUGUAUGGGGGCUGACGCCUGCCCAGUGCCAGAAGGUUAAAGAAGUUGGUUAGCAUUAGCGAAGCUGAUAACUGAAGCCCUGGUGAACGGCGGCCGUAACAAUAACGGUCCUAAGGUAGCGAAAUUCCUUGUCGGGUAAGUUCCGACCCGCACGAAAGGCGUAAUGAUUUGGAUACUGUCUCGGAGAGGGGCUCGGUGAAAUAGACUUGUCUGUGAAGAUGCGGACUACCUGCACCAGGACAGAAAGACCCUAUGAAGCUUUACUGUAACUUGAGAUUGAAAUUGGACUUUAUUUGCGCAGUAUAGGUGGGAGACGUUGAAAAUAUUCUUGCGGGAAUAUUGGAGUCAUCAGUGAGAUACCACUCUUAUAAUGUUAGAUUUCUAACUUUGUAUCAUUAUCUGGUCAAAGAACAGUCUCAGGCGGGCAGUUUGACUGGGGCGGUCGCCUCCCAAACGGUAACGGAGGCGCACAAAGGUUUCCUCUGAACGUGUAGAAAUCGUAUCUAGAGUGUAAAGGCAUAAGGAAGCUUGACUGUGAGACCUACAAGUCGAGCAGGGACGAAAGUCGGUCUUAGUGAUCUGACGGUGCUGAGUGGAAAGGCCGUCACUCAACGGAUAAAAGUUACUCUAGGAUAACAGGCUGAUCUCCCCCAAGAGUUCACAUCGACGGGGAGGUUUGGCACCUCGAUGUCGGCUCAUCGCAUCCUGGGGCGGUAGUACGUCCCAAGGGUUGGGCUGUUCGCCCAUGAAAGCGGUACGCGAGCUAGGUUCAGAACGUCGUGAGACAGUUCGGUCCAUAUCCGGUGUAGGCGUUAGAAUAUUGAGAGGAGCCUUCUUUAGUACGAGAGGACCGAGAAGGACAUACCUCUGGUGUACCAGUUAUCGUGCCAACGGUAAACGCUGGGUAGCUAUGUAUGGAGAGGAUAACCGCUGAAAGCAUCUAGGUGGGAAGCCCACCUCAAGAUAAGUA